GCCGGAGUAGCUCAGUUGGUAGAGCGGCGCAUUCGUAAUGCGUAGGUCGCAGGUUCGACUCCUGUUUCCGGCACCA
This 76-nucleotide transfer RNA is filed under the name Rhodanobacter sp. Its description in RNAcentral is "tRNA-Thr". It matches the Rfam family "tRNA". Rfam says of the family: Transfer RNA (tRNA) molecules are approximately 80 nucleotides in length. Lineage: Bacteria; Pseudomonadati; Pseudomonadota; Gammaproteobacteria; Lysobacterales; Rhodanobacteraceae. RNAcentral also lists the same sequence under 2 other names. The record is from RNAcentral.